This 250-nucleotide ribosomal RNA is filed under the name uncultured prokaryote. RNAcentral describes it as "partial 16S ribosomal RNA". It matches the Rfam family "Bacterial small subunit ribosomal RNA", at positions 524 to 773 of the family's 1533-position model. The record is from RNAcentral.
UACGUAGGGGGCAAGCGUUAUCCGGAUUUACUGGGUGUAAAGGGAGCGUAGACGGCAAGGCAAGUCUGAAGUGAAAGCCCGGGGCUCAACCGCGGGACUGCUUUGGAAACUGUUUAGCUAGAGUGCAGGAGGGGCAAGAGGAAUUCCUGGUGUAGCGGUGAAAUGCGUAGAUAUCAGGAGGAACACCGGUGGCGAAGGCGUCUUGCUGGACUGUAACUGACGUUGAGGCUCGAAAGCGUGGGGAGCAAAC